GGAUGUGAGGGCGAUCUGGCUGCGACAUCUGUCACCCCAUUGAUCGCCAGGGUUGAUUCCGCUGAUCUGGCUGGCUAGGCGGGUGUCCCCUUCCUCCCUCACUACUCCAUGUGCAUCCCUCCCGAAGCUGCGAGCUUGGUCGAAGAGGACGACCUUCCCUGAUAGAGGAGGACCGUUCUUCGAUCAAGGGUAUAUGAGUAGCUGCGCUCCCCUGCUAGAACCUCCAAACAAGCUCUCAAGGUCCUUUACAUUUAGAUACACAAACUGCAUGCAUUAACUUCUGCAUUUGAAACCCUCGGGACAAUACAUGC
RNAcentral lists this small nuclear RNA (311 nucleotides) under Spermophilus dauricus (Daurian ground squirrel). RNAcentral describes it as "7SK RNA (ENSSDAG00000024831.1)". It matches the Rfam family "7SK RNA". From Rfam's summary of the family: 7SK was discovered as an abundant small nuclear RNA in the mid-70s but a possible function has only recently been suggested. Two independent studies have found that 7SK RNA binds the CDK9/cyclin T complex (known as elongation factor P-TEFb). Lineage: Eukaryota; Metazoa; Chordata; Mammalia; Rodentia; Sciuridae. The record is from Rfam by way of RNAcentral.